This 378-nucleotide unclassified non-coding RNA is filed under the name uncultured fungus. Its description in RNAcentral is "partial contains 5.8S ribosomal RNA and internal transcribed spacer 2". The stretch from base 1 to 133 matches the Rfam family "5.8S ribosomal RNA", at positions 22 to 154 of the family's 154-position model. Lineage: Eukaryota; Fungi. The record is from RNAcentral.
UGGCUCUCGCAUCGAUGAAGAACGCAGCGAAAUGCGAUAAGUAAUGUGAAUUGCAGAAUUCAGUGAAUCAUCGAAUCUUUGAACGCACCUUGCGCUCCUUGGUAUUCCGAGGAGCAUGCCUGUUUGAGUGUCUUGAAGUCAUCAACCCCAACCUUUCGUCUCGAGAGGUCGCGGUUGGAUCUUGGGGGCUUUGCCGCCGUCAAAGGCCGGCUCCCCUCAAAUGCGUCGGUUGGGCCUCUGGGUCAAACUCGACUGGGCGUUGUACCAUCCUCGCUCCGGAGAGAACCCGCGUACCCCUUCCUCUACCCUGCCCCUGCUGCGGGCGGGUCAAUCGACCUUUUGAAAUCUGACCUCAAAUCAGGCAGGACUACCCGCUGA